GACGUAGGGUGCAAGCGUUAAUCGGAAUUACUGGGCGUAAAGCGUGCGCAGGCGGCGAUGUAAGUCAGAUGUGAAAUCCCCGGGCUCAACCUGGGAAUUGCAUUUGAGACUGCAUGGCUAGAGUGUGUCAGAGGGGGGUAGAAUUCCACGUGUAGCAGUGAAAUGCGUAGAGAUGUGGAGGAAUACCGAUGGCGAAGGCAGCCCCCUGGGAUAACACUGACGCUCAUGCACGAAAGCGUGGGGAGCAAACAGG
RNAcentral lists this ribosomal RNA (253 nucleotides) under uncultured Herminiimonas sp. RNAcentral's name for it is "partial 16S ribosomal RNA". It matches the Rfam family "Bacterial small subunit ribosomal RNA", at positions 524 to 776 of the family's 1533-position model. The record is from RNAcentral. Lineage: Bacteria; Pseudomonadati; Pseudomonadota; Betaproteobacteria; Burkholderiales; Oxalobacteraceae.